AAGACUAACUACUGCGAAAGCAUUUGCCAAGGAUGUUUUCAUUAAUCAGUGAACGAAAGUUAGGGGAUCGAAGACGAUCAGAUACCGUCGUAGUCUUAACCAUAAACUAUGCCGACUAGGGAUCGGGCGAUGUUAUCUUUUUGACUCGCUCGGCACCUUACGAGAAAUCAAAGUUUUUGGGUUCUGGGGGGAGUAUGGUCGCAAGGCUGAAACUUAAAGAAAUUGACGGAAGGGCACCACUAGGAGUGGAGCCUGCGGCUUAAUUUGACUCAACACGGGGAAAC
This 284-nucleotide ribosomal RNA is filed under the name uncultured fungus. Its description in RNAcentral is "partial 18S ribosomal RNA". It matches the Rfam family "Eukaryotic small subunit ribosomal RNA", at positions 932 to 1214 of the family's 1831-position model. The record is from RNAcentral. Lineage: Eukaryota; Fungi.